UUAAGUUCAGCGGGUAUUCCUACCUGAUCCGAGGUCAACCAUUAAAAAUUUGGGGGUUUAGCGGCUAGGGUUAUAGCACUUUCAAAAGCGUGAUAAGUAUUACUGCGCUCAGAGGUGACUACGACUCCGCCGUUAGAUUUGAGGAACUACAGGGUAGCUACAGGGUAGCUACCGCUCACAGUAGAUUCCCAACACUAAGC
This 200-nucleotide unclassified non-coding RNA is filed under the name Phlogicylindrium sp. RNAcentral's name for it is "partial internal transcribed spacer 2". The record is from RNAcentral. Lineage: Eukaryota; Fungi; Ascomycota; Sordariomycetes; Amphisphaeriales; Phlogicylindriaceae.